This 431-nucleotide ribosomal RNA is filed under the name uncultured prokaryote. Its description in RNAcentral is "bacterial SSU rRNA". It matches the Rfam family "Bacterial small subunit ribosomal RNA", at positions 355 to 796 of the family's 1533-position model. The record is from RNAcentral.
UGGGGAAUAUUGCACAAUGGGCGCAAGCCUGAUGCAGCGACGCCGCGUGGGGGAUGACGGCCUUCGGGUUGUAAACCUCUUUCAGCUAUGACGAAGCUUUCGGGUGACGGUAGUAGCAGAAGAAGCACCGGCCAACUACGUGCCAGCAGCCGCGGUAAUACGUAGGGUGCGAGCGUUGUCCGGAAUUACUGGGCGUAAAGAGCUCGUAGGUGGUUUGUCGCGUUGUUCGUGAAAACUCACAGCUUAACUGUGGGCGUGCGGGCGAUACGGGCAGACUGGAGUACUGCAGGGGAGAUUGGAAUUCCUGGUGUAGCGGUGGAAUGCGCAGAUAUCAGGAGGAACACCGGUGGCGAAGGCGGGUCUCUGGGCAGUAACUGACGCUGAGGAGCGAAAGCGUGGGGAGCGAACAGGAUUAGAUACCCCCGUAGUCC